This 232-nucleotide unclassified non-coding RNA is filed under the name soil metagenome. RNAcentral's name for it is "partial internal transcribed spacer 1". The record is from RNAcentral.
UUGAAUUUUAAUGAAGAGUUUGGUUGUAGCUGGCCCAUUCAUUUGGGCAUGUGCACACCUUCCUCUUUCAUCCCACACACACCUGUGAACCUGUGAGACAGAGAUGGGGAAUUUACUUGCUGCUUUUUGGAAUACGAAGGCAAUAGGUUAUUGGACCCCCCCUCUGUCUACUCAAUUAAUAUAAACUCAAUUUAUUUUAAAACGAAUGUAAUGGAUGUAACACAUCUCAUAC